AUGGCAAGAAAUGAUUUCGGAUUUGGUUCUUUGAUCAUAGAUAUCAAGCUUGAUGGUUCAAACUACAGGGAAUGGGCAUUUUCUGCCCGGACUGUCUUGAGGACGGCUGGUUUUGUUUCUCAUCUGACAGAUGAUCCACCUAGUCCAAAUGAUGAUGCAGCAAGGAAGUCUUGGCAAAAGAUCGAUGAUCGUGUGAGGGGAGUUUUAAUUCUGGGUGUUGAACCCUCACUCCGAAUGAGUCUUGAGCAUCACACUUCAGCUAAAGAGAUAUGGAAGUACUUUGAGCAGCGCUACCUUCAGCCCAGCAGUGCACUUCAUUUCUCCUUGUUGCAGAAUUUACACAACACUCGGCAGCCAGAAGACAUGUCCAUAGAAGAGUACUAUGGAGCUUUCACUCGCAUCACUGGGCAGCUAGGUUCCAUGGUUCCAAAGGGUAAUUCUGGUUGUGAGUCAUGUGCAGCGAAGGAAAAGUACGACCAUCAAACUCUCAUGUUUCAGUUUGUGAUGGGUCUCAAGCCAGACUUUGAGAACAUUCGCACUCAUUGCUUGGUCGUACGACUCCUCCCACCUUGA
Molecule: ribosomal RNA, 573 nt
Filed under: Triticum aestivum (bread wheat)
Lineage: Eukaryota; Viridiplantae; Streptophyta; Magnoliopsida; Poales; Poaceae
Description: partial small subunit ribosomal RNA
Source: RNAcentral